UAAGGAAUAUUGCGCGAAUGGGCGAAAGCCUGACGCAGCAACGCCGCGUGCGGGAAGAAGGCCUUCGGGUUGUAAACCGCUUUGAGAGGGGAAGAGGCAGGACGGUACCCUCGGAACAAGUCUCGGCUAACUACGUGCCAGCAGCCGCGGUAAAACGUAGGAGGCGAGCGUUAUCCGGAGUUACUGGGUGUAAAGGGCGUGCAGGCGGCUGAGCAAGUCGUAUGUGAAAGCGCUCCGGCUCAACCGGGC
Molecule: ribosomal RNA, 249 nt
Filed under: uncultured Anaerolineae bacterium
Lineage: Bacteria; Bacillati; Chloroflexota; Anaerolineae
Description: partial 16S ribosomal RNA
Rfam family: Bacterial small subunit ribosomal RNA
Source: RNAcentral